This 477-nucleotide ribosomal RNA is filed under the name uncultured organism. RNAcentral's name for it is "partial 16S ribosomal RNA". It matches the Rfam family "Bacterial small subunit ribosomal RNA", at positions 333 to 801 of the family's 1533-position model. The record is from RNAcentral.
ACACUCCUGCGGGAGGCAGCAGUGGGGAAUUUUGGACAAUGGGGGCAACCCUGAUCCAGCAAUGCCGCGUGAGUGAAGAAGGCCUUCGGGUUGUAAAGCUCUUUUGUCAGGGAAGAAACGGUAGUAGCGAAUAACUAUUACUAAUGACGGUACCUGAAGAAUAAGCACCGGCUAACUACGUGCCAGCAGCCGCGGUAAUACGUAGGGUGCAAGCGUUAAUCGGAAUUACUGGGCGUAAAGCGUGCGCAGGCGGUUGUGUAAGUCAGAUGUGAAAUCCCCGGGCUCAACCUGGGAAUUGCAUUUGAGACUGCACGGCUAGAGUGUGUCAGAGGGGGGUAGAAUUCCACGUGUAGCAGUGAAAUGCGUAGAUAUGUGGAGGAAUACCGAUGGCGAAGGCAGCCCCCUGGGAUAACACUGACGCUCAUGCACGAAAGCGUGGGGAGCAAACAGGAUUAGAAACCCCUGUAGUCCCAUGAU